GACGAACGCUGGCGGCGUGCUUAACACAUGCAAGUCGAACGGAAAGGCCCUGCACUUGUGGGGUGCUCGAGUGGCGAACGGGUGAGUAACACGUGAGUAACCUGCCCUUGACUUUGGGAUAACUUCAGGAAACUGGGGCUAAUACCGGAUAUGAGCUCCUGCUGCAUGGUGGGGGUUGGAAAGUUUCGGCGGUUGGGGAUGGACUCGCGGCUUAUCAGCUUGUUGGUGGGGUAGUGGCUUACCAAGGCUUUGACGGGUAGCCGGCCUGGGAGGGUGACCGGCCACAUUGGGACUGAGAUACGGGCCAGACUCCUACGUGAGGCAGAAGUGGGGAAUAUUGCACAAUGGGCGGAAGCCUGAUGCAGCAACGUCGCGUGCGGGAUGACGGCCUUCGGGUUGUAAACCGCUUUCGCCUGUGACGAAGCGUGAGUGACGGUAAUGGGUAAAGAAGCACCGGCUAACUACGUG
RNAcentral lists this ribosomal RNA (468 nucleotides) under uncultured bacterium. Its description in RNAcentral is "partial 16S ribosomal RNA". It matches the Rfam family "Bacterial small subunit ribosomal RNA", at positions 28 to 507 of the family's 1533-position model. The record is from RNAcentral.